Molecule: ribosomal RNA, 422 nt
Filed under: uncultured bacterium
Lineage: Bacteria
Description: bacterial SSU rRNA
Rfam family: Bacterial small subunit ribosomal RNA
Source: RNAcentral
UCGAGAAUCUUCGGCAAUGGGCGCAAGCCUGACCGAGCGACGCCGCGUGGAGGACGAAGGCCUUCGGGUUGUAAACUCCUGUCGAGGGGGACCAAGGGGGCGGGAAGACCGCCCCUUGAGGGAUCCCUGGAGGAAGCACGGGCUAAGUUCGUGCCAGCAGCCGCGGUAAGACGAACCGUGCGAACGUUAUUCGGAAUCAUUGGGCUUAAAGGGCGCGUAGGCGGGCGACCGCGUCGAUGGCUGAAAGCCCCCGGCUUAACCGGGGAACGGGCCACGAUACGGGUCGCCUCGAGGCGAGGAGGGGGACCUGGAACGUCCGGUGGAGCGGUGAAAUGCGUUGAGAUUGGACGGAACACCGACGGCGAAAGCAAGGUCCUGGACUCGUACUGACGCUGAGGCGCGAAAGCCAGGGGAGCGAACGG